GCAGCAGUCAAAGCCCAUUGUGCUAGGUGAGCAGUGGACAGAAGCAGUUGUUCUUGCUAAGGUUUCAGUUUUUGGUGCAACUGUAAGCAUCCAUUCUUGUUUGUGUGCUUUAGGGAAUCCACUGGGAGUAUGCCAAGCCCCUGUCACCAGCUGGCUGAUGGACUGGGUUUGCUGUGCUUGUGAGUCCUCUGGAAGUAUUACAGGACCCUGUGAUGAAGCCUUCUAAUUUUGCAUUUCAAGGUCCCACCCUGGUAGCCCCGAGGAGUGGCCAAGGAGUUGUGCUGAGUCGGGGAGGUAGGGAGGAGGAGUGGGAGUCAACUCAAGUUUCAUCAUUGUGUCCCCUUAGCCUAGGUGUACCCUGCAAUGAAGGCGUCAGAAUCCAACCACACCCAAAGUGUGCUGGCCCAGAACCCGGGCAUUCUGAGGAGGAUGGCCAAGAGGUGACAGCUGGAACUUACCAGACAGGCAGACGGCCUUCUUCUACAGCCAACAGGGAUUUGCAUGCCCAGAUAUGUGCAAGAUAAGUCAAGGGCUACAACCCACAGAGGGCAUGGAAGAGAGGUGCAAGGUUGGGACUCCCCAGGGGGGUUUUUUGAGUCAGUUUUGGAGAUGGAGAUGUUGAAAAAGAGUCUCCUAAGCCCACCUAAAUGCAAAGUGUUUGUUUUGAUCUCAGUGCUGAGGUGCGCAGGGCAGAGCA
Molecule: non-coding RNA, 697 nt
Organism: Taeniopygia guttata (zebra finch)
Lineage: Eukaryota; Metazoa; Chordata; Aves; Passeriformes; Estrildidae
Source: RefSeq, a predicted model, not a curated record